AGAUUGAACGCUGGCGGCAGGCCUAACACAUGCAAGUCGAGCGGUAGAGAGGUGCUUGCAUCUCUUGAGAGCGGCGGACGGGUGAGUAAUGCCUAGGAAUCUGCCUAGUGGGUGGGGGAUAACGUUCGGAAACGGACGCUAAUACCGCAUACGUCCUACGGGAGAAAGCGGGGGACCUUCGGGCCUCGCGUCAUUAGAUGAGCCUAGGGUCGGAUUAGCUAGUUGGUGAGGUAAUGGCUCACCAAGGCGACGAUCCGUAACUGGUCUGAGAGGAUGAUCAGUC
Molecule: ribosomal RNA, 283 nt
Filed under: uncultured soil bacterium
Lineage: Bacteria
Description: partial 16S ribosomal RNA
Rfam family: Bacterial small subunit ribosomal RNA
Source: RNAcentral